GUUUAUUGUGUAGUGGUUCUAUUCAAGUGGGAAUAAAUAAAUAAAUAAAUAUACAAAUCACACAGAUUGAGCAAGCCCCAAAGGAAUAUAAUAUGGAAAUCGCAAAAUAACACUUCCCCGAGACGAUUUGUAAGACCGCCGUCACUUGUUAUGACAUGUGCGUCGCGCGGUCGCGUUUUGCCGCCUUUUCUGACAUAUGUCAUUUUGACACGACAGCGCGGGUCAUCCCUGAACAACUUCGCAAUGUGUUCGGAACAUGAUUCACGAUGUCGCUCGUGCGGCUCGGCCAUCUUCAAAGACAAUUUCCACGAAAUUGGACGAAAUCGUAGUACAAGCAGAGAUUAAAACUAAAAAGCAGAUAGGCCGU
This is a long non-coding RNA of Plodia interpunctella (Indianmeal moth), 367 nucleotides long. RefSeq lists it as uncharacterized. The transcript is spliced from 3 exons. The record is from RefSeq and is a predicted model, not a curated record. Lineage: Eukaryota; Metazoa; Arthropoda; Insecta; Lepidoptera; Pyralidae.